CGAUCGGAGCUCAUGACGACCUGCUUACUAUUGUGAAAAAACGAAAGCUUAAAACCUUUGGCCACAUUACAAGAUCUACGGGGCUCGCAAAGACCUUUCUUCAGGGAACAGUGCCAGGGAAAAGAAGAAGAGGCAGACAGAAAAAGCGAUGGGAGGACAACAUUAAAGAAUGGACAGGCCUGCCAUUGAGAGAGGUUCUGAACAAGGCAAAAAAAAGGGAGGAAUGGAGAAAGACGGUCGACAAAUCUUGCCUGGUGCCCCAACGGUCCAACAGACUAAGGGAUAGGUAAAGGUAAAAGAAUACCCAGUCAUCACAGUGCACAAUGGUCUCAGCGACUAUUCACAAGAGGUACACCAUUAGUAAAAUCACUCAAGUGAGUGACACUUCAGGACAGAGGCCUAAAAGGCGAAAAAAUUUUGAAUUAAAUUCAUUGUAAUUAAAACUGACAAGAAUUGGGAGAAUAUGUCACGGGUCAUGACCUUUCAAUUCAAGAAAACACAGAUCAUCAUCAUUAAGGCCAUUUAAGUGAGGGCUUGAGAGGUUCAAAUCCUCCCUCUUAAAAGCACAGACAUGACAUGGUCGCUCUCAACUUGGAGACUAAAAACUUCAGGAGAGAGUGAUGACACGUGACCACCUGGAGUGCAACACUCAAGAAGCUUUGCGGACGAUUUGAGUUGACUGAUGUGGUGUUCAUGAAAUGUGUAUGAUUUAUAGGGCCUACUACCCACUGUAUGUGAUGUUCUACCCACUGUAUGUGAUGUUCUACCCACUGUAUGUGAUGUUCUACCCACUGUAUGUGAUGUUCUACCCACUGUAUGUGAUCUACUACCCACUGUAUGUGAUGUUCUACCCACUGUAUGUGAUCUACUACCCACUGUAUGUGAUCUACUACCCACUGUAUGUGAUCUACUACCCACUGUAUGUGAUCUGCUACCCGCUUUAUGUGAUCUGCUACCCGCUGUAUGUGAUCUGCUACCCGCUGUAUGUGAUCUGCUACCCGCUUUAUGUGAUCUGCUACCCACUGUAUGUGAUCUGCUACCCGCUUUAUGUGAUCUGCUACCCACUGUAUGUGAUCUGCUACCCGCUGUAUGUGAUGUGCUACCCACUGUAUGUGAUGUGCUACCCACUGUAUGUGAUCUACUACCCACUGUAUGUGAUCUGCUACCCGCUUUAUGUGAUCUGCUAUCCACUGUAUGUGAUCUGCUACCCACUGUAUGUGAUCUGGUACCCGCUUUAUGUGAUCUGCUACCCACUGUAUGUGAUCUGCUACCCACUGUAUGUGAUGUGCUACCCACUGUAUGUGAUGUGCUACCCGCUGUAUGUGAUGUGCUACCCGCUGUAUGUGAUCUGCUACCCACUGUAUGUGAUGUGCUACCCACUGUUUGUGAUGUGCUACCCACUGUAUGUGAUCUACUACCCACUGCAUGUGAUCUGCUACCCGCUGCAUGUGAUCUGCUACCGCUGUAUGUGAUGUGCUACCCACUGUAUGUGAUGUGCUACCCGCUGUAUUUGAUAUGCUACCCGCUGUAUGUGAUAUGCUACCCGCUGUAUGUGAUGUGCUACCCACUGUAUGUGAUGUGAUAGCCACUGUAUGUGAUGUGCUACCCGCUGUAUGUGAUAUGCUACCCACUGUAUGUGAUGUGCUACCCACUGUAUGUGAUCUGCUACCCACUGUAUGUGAUCUACUACCCACUGUAUGUGAUCUACUACCCACUGUAUGUGAUGUGCUACCCGCUUUAUGUGAUCUGCUACCCACUGUAUGUGAUGUGCUACCCGCUGUAUGUGAUGUGCUACCCACUGUAUGUGAUCUGCUACCUACUGUAUGUGAUGUGCUACCCGCUGUAUGUGAUGUGCUAUCCGCUGUAUGUGAUCUGCUACCCGCUGUAUGUGAUGUGCUACCCACUGUAUGUGAUCUGCUACCCACUGUAUGUGAUGUGCUACCCGCUGUAUGUGAUCUGCUACCCGCUGUAUGUGAUCUGCUACCCGCUGUAUGUGAUGUGCUACCCACUGUAUGUGAUGUGCUACCCACUGUAUGUGAUGUGCUACCCGCUGUAUGUGAUCUGCUACCCACUGUAUGUGAUGUGCUACCCAGUGAUGUGCUACCCACUGUAUUUGAUGUGCUACCCACUAGAUAUGAUGUUCUACCCACUAGAUGUGAUGUUCUACCCACUAGUUGUUAUGUUCUACCCACUAAUUGUUAUGUACUACCCACUAGUUGUGACGUGCUACCCAGUAUGUUAUGUGUGCUAUUAAAAAUUAAUCACCCCACAAAAACGCAUACUUGCACUUAUUCCCUAUUUUUACGAACAUAUCCUGGUAUAGUAAUCGCAUUUUAAUAUUUAUGCCUGUCUUGGAAAGCUCAAACUGAUACGCUACCUUACUCCCUUCCUUUUCACAGACACACCUGUUGAUAUUCCGUCAUUGCUUUGUAGUUCAAAACAGUGCAGGUGUAUUCAAUUCUUAAUGUAGAGCUUGAAGUAAAACUGAACAACUUUUUUUUCAAACAAAACUCAAUAAUAAAAACUAUCUAGGUGUGGGUCAAGUUUUAGUUGCAGAUGUAUAGACAACUUACAGGCAGCAAAUAUCGAGGUGUGGGUCAGGUGUUCAAAACUAAAGCAAACAAACCAAAUUUCAUGAGACAGAAGGCUUGAGGUUCAAAUUAAUCAAUCAAUCAAACUGUUCACACAUUGAUCUGUAUUCCUACCAAUUAGUGGACUCCAUGAAUAAAGAGAAAUGAAUAGCAGAUUUUAUAAUUGGCUGCACUUUUUAAAAUACUGCACUAUAGACACCCCACAAAAAAGCAUUUUAACGCACUCCCCCCCCCCCCUACUAAAAUUAUUCUGACUGCGCUUAUGGUUUCCAAUAUAUAGAUAUUAAAUGAAAAAAAAAGGCUAUUGAAACUGCUAAUCAUUCCUAGAUCUAUAGCUGUCUAUUAAAUGGUUCAAUUAUAAUUAGUUUCUUUGUUAGUUCUACGUCUACCUUUUAAGGCUGAUUUAAGUCCCUUUGAACACUCACUGCUUUAUGUAACAUGGUUUUGUUCCUAUGUUAUUUUUUUUUUAUCUUUGUAAAUCUAGCAAGAAAAGUUAGAUAUGUGAUUAUUUAUCUAUUAAGAUAAACCAGAUAUGUCAUUGAUAAUCUAGACGGCUUGAGAAUAUUCUUGAUUGUUAGUCUAGCAAGAUAGAAUUAAUUCUCAAUGAGAUUCAAUGGUUUCACUUUCAUCUCUUGCAAGACUAAAAAAAAAUUCAAACUAAUUUAUUAAAAAGCUUAAUUUAAGAAAACUUUUCAUUCAAUCAAUUGUUUUUCAUUUGGAAUUAAAGAGGUGGACACAAUUAGGGCCGUCUCUUUGUAAAAUAAGCUCUUAUGUGGACUUGUGGAGAAUCGGGAGAUUCUCGUGCUGCGCUCAGCAAACACAGCUCAGCUCGACUCUGUAAUAGAACGAAAUUCUUAGUCUAGAUCGGGAUUCAAACUCCUUGGAUAUGUAGCCAAGCGAUGUGUGUCACUCUACAUCAGUGAUUCCCAAAGUGGUCUAUAUAGACCCCCAAGGGUCUAGGAAGACUUCCAACGGGUCUACGAAAGUGAAAAAAUAAAUUGGGGGUCUAUGAUAUGUCCAUGGGGGGUCUACGAUAAUGGAUUUCAUUUAAGCAGAUCAUGAUUUUAAUUUUCUCAUUCCAUUUAUGUAUUUAUUUCAUACACUAGGCUAUAGGGCCUAAUCGUCUAUAUAUGAUUUGCACCUUAGUUAUUCCUUUAAA
This is a long non-coding RNA of Biomphalaria glabrata, 3750 nucleotides long. RefSeq lists it as uncharacterized. Lineage: Eukaryota; Metazoa; Mollusca; Gastropoda; Planorbidae. The transcript is spliced from 3 exons. The record is from RefSeq and is a predicted model, not a curated record.